CGAACGCUGGCGGCGUGCUUAACACAUGCAAGUCGAACGGAAAGGCCCUGCUUGCAGGGUACUCGAGUGGCGAACGGGUGAGUAACACGUGGGUGAUCUGCCCUGCACUUCGGGAUAAGCCUGGGAAACUGGGUCUAAUACCGGAUAGGAGCCAUUUUUAGUGUGAUGGUUGGAAAGUUUUUUCGGUGUAGGAUGAGCUCGCGGCCUAUCAGCUUGUUGGUGGGGUAAUGGCCUACCAAGGCGGCGACGGGUAGCCGGCCUGAGAGGGUGGACGGCCACAGUGGGACUGAGAGACGGCCCAGACGCCUACGGGAGGCAGCAGGGGGGAAUAUUGCACAAGGGGCGCAAGCCGGAUGCAGCGACGCCGCGUGGGGGAGGACGGCCUUCGGGUUGUAAACGCCUUUCGCUAGGGACGAAGCUUUUUGUGACGGUACCUAGAUAAGAAGCACCGGCUAACUACGUG
This 463-nucleotide ribosomal RNA is filed under the name uncultured bacterium. RNAcentral's name for it is "partial 16S ribosomal RNA". It matches the Rfam family "Bacterial small subunit ribosomal RNA", at positions 30 to 507 of the family's 1533-position model. The record is from RNAcentral.